Molecule: long non-coding RNA, 890 nt
Organism: Arachis duranensis
Lineage: Eukaryota; Viridiplantae; Streptophyta; Magnoliopsida; Fabales; Fabaceae
Exons: 5
Source: RefSeq, a predicted model, not a curated record
UCGCCGUUCACCAUUCGCGUUCACUCGCCGAUCACCGUUCGGGUUCGGGUUCGUCUGGAAGCCACGUUGCCCUGCUUCAAACUCUGCGACCAACCCGUGCGCUCCACCUAGCCGUCGAACUGCUUUCUUUUGUCGCCGCCCAUGGCACUCUCGGGGCACUUGUCCAAGAUUCUGUUAAGAGCCACUACUAGACCCUGUUUUACUGUGCACCCACCCUCCGCCACUGCCGCUACCCCAGUGCCACCACUAGGCCGCCACCGUGUUGCUCCGGCCAUUCACUCAUCAUCAUCAAUCUUUCCCUUCCCUUCCCCUGUUCCAAUUCCCUGCUUCCCAGGGUGAGAUGUGUUGAAAGUUCAGUGUGUUUGUUCAGGAAGGGAAUGUGCUGAAUAAUUAUAUUAAAAGAUGGAUUUAGGCAUUCUUUUCUUCCUCUUUCACACCCUGCAGGAAUGCUAUUGAUUCCUCUUUAUUCAAGCAAUGGUUGCAUAACUUGCAAAGUGAGAUUGGGAUUCUAGCUGAUGGCACCUUGGCUCUGAGACAAGUUCUAAUUCAGGGUGUAGACAUGUUUGGAAAGCGCAUUGGGUUUCUCAAAUUUAAAGCUGACAUUUAUAAGCCAGUCUAUGUUUCCAUUUUCUUGUGUUAAUUUUAGCAAGGGGCUAUGAACUAAUAGACAUUUUACCUGUUAUGCUCUAUAUAUAUUAUUCAAAAAUAGCUUCUUGUGCUUCAAUAUCCAAAAAUUGGAUUCCUCAUCAUGGCAAGCAAUGUAUUAAUAGUAUUUGAUUCAUAGGCAUACCACAUUCUGAGCUAUGUGGUAUCUAAAAUGCACAACUAUUAGGAUCUUUUGCUUCUUACCUUAUGUUCUCAGGCAUCCAUCAUUCCUCUUUUGCUUGUAA